This 1135-nucleotide long non-coding RNA is filed under the name Heterocephalus glaber (naked mole-rat). RNAcentral describes it as "lncRNA (ENSHGLG00000032774.1)". The record is from RNAcentral. Lineage: Eukaryota; Metazoa; Chordata; Mammalia; Rodentia; Bathyergidae.
CACAGACUGACCAAGUCCCUCCAGGAUUGUGUAAACCCUGACAUAUGCAAUGGUUUAAUGUAAAAAAGGUGAGAGGUCACAUACUUGCCCACUGAUGGACUUUGGUGAGGGACGUCUGCCUUGAAGCCCAGCCCCUAUUAUGAUGCCAAAACUCAAGGGAAGAGGACAUCAUCUCUUUCCAAUUAAUACAUUUUCUGCAGGCAUCUGAAUAAAAUAGCCAAGAUUUCCCCUUCAAAGCUCUCUGUCUUAAGUUUAAAGAAGUGAGAGCCCAUAAAAGAUGGUCCUAAUUAAGCUUAAAAUUUUUGGCAAGUGUUGGAUUACUUAAAGGCCUGACAUAAACAUCUUGGAAAUUAAGAUGUUUCUCUAUUACAACAAUCUCCUCUUGACAUCUGCACCACAGCCAGGGCUGCUCAGGUGUCCUGAGAAAUGUACUCACUCCACAGGCUGGUCAUCUUUUGAAGGUGCUGAAUCAAGUGAAUGAGAGACCACAAGUCUUUUGGUCUUCAUGAAGAUAAAACCAGGGGCCAGCUUGCUCUGGUUCUGUGAAUAAAUUGGUGCCACUGACCAGAGACCUUACAAAAGAGUCAGUGCACACUUGGAUGCCAGACAGCACCAUAACCCAGAGAACCCAAGGCCAAACUGCUUUAGCUCAGCAUGGAGAAUAUGCAUCUCAGAUGUAUUUUCAAGGUGUGUCGGAGAAAGGCCUCUGUUGUCUCACUGCAUGGAGCAAAUCUCUGGCCCACAUGGACUGUCUCUCCUUCUCAGACUACAGAAUCUCCACUUAGGAACAUGAAUUUUGGACAAGUUCUUCAGCUUCUGCCAACAGCUAAAGACACUCGCAUGAAGCAGGACUACUCAGUGGUGUCUCUAUGGGGCAGGACCAUGGGGAAUUUGUCAGGAAAUGCAAAUCAGCAAUGUUUAGUUUAAAAUUGACUUUAAAACUUUGUGAGCAAUUAGACAUUAUGUAAAGAGUAAUACAUGUGGAUUUUUGCCAACCACUUGCAGUAGCUUUCCAGUAAUGGCAAAACAAUCCUUUCUCUAAUUCACAUCAACUUAAAAAGAUGAUAAGUUUUUAAAUUUUGAGACAAUUUUUAUGUUGUUUUUACUGUGGAAUCACUUCUUAAUUUAAUUACAC